RNAcentral lists this ribosomal RNA (253 nucleotides) under Nitrosospira multiformis. RNAcentral's name for it is "partial 16S ribosomal RNA". It matches the Rfam family "Bacterial small subunit ribosomal RNA", at positions 524 to 776 of the family's 1533-position model. Lineage: Bacteria; Pseudomonadati; Pseudomonadota; Betaproteobacteria; Nitrosomonadales; Nitrosomonadaceae. RNAcentral also lists the same sequence under 2 other names. The record is from RNAcentral.
UACGUAGGGUGCAAGCGUUAAUCGGAAUUACUGGGCGUAAAGCGUGCGCAGGCGGUUUUGUAAGUCAGAUGUGAAAUCCCCGGGCUUAACCUGGGAACUGCGUUUGAAACUACAAGGCUAGAGUGUGGCAGAGGGGGGUGGAAUUCCACGUGUAGCAGUGAAAUGCGUAGAGAUGUGGAGGAACACCGAUGGCGAAGGCAGCCCCCUGGGUUAACACUGACGCUCAGGCACGAAAGCGUGGGGAGCAAACAGG